UAUCAAAAUUGAUUUAAUCAAGAAUAUAUUUGAAAUAUAUGAGAAAAAGAUUCUACUUAUUUAAAAU
Molecule: transfer RNA, 67 nt
Filed under: Purpureocillium takamizusanense
Lineage: Eukaryota; Fungi; Ascomycota; Sordariomycetes; Hypocreales; Ophiocordycipitaceae
Description: tRNA-Thr
Source: RNAcentral